CGUCGAUGGCGUCGCUUCUCUCAAGCUGCGGUGAGGUUGCUCCGAGCGCCGGGCUGACGGGCACAGCAGCAGCGAACUGAGACGGCCGGUGUGCAGCGAGCAACGCCGGGCUGGUGGCGCGGCGAACUCGCUGCUGCCGGCGAUGAGCGGGAGCACCGCUGCUGGACAACUGCUGCUGGAUCGGCGAUGAGGCGGAUCGGCGAUGAGGCUGAAUGUCCUGCUGGAUUUCUCGAGCUCCGCCACGCCGAGCUCCGAGCAGAUGAGAGCAGCUGCGCCUUGAACGCCGGUGGAGGGCGGCGUCGUCGGUGACGAUCUGCUGCUGCUGCGAGGAGCGGAGGGCCGAUCUUCUGCUGCUGCGAGGAGCGGAGGGCCGAUCUGCUGCUGCUGCGAGGAGGGCCGAUCUGCUGCUGCUGCGAGGAGGGCGGCGUCGUCGGUGACGCAACGGCCAAGGAGAAGCCGGGGAGGGAGAGAUGGCACCGGCGUGGCUCCGCACACGCACAGUUGGUCAAAAAGCUUGUGCUUUCAUUUUUCGCGUGGGGGACAAAAGCUCCCUACUUUUU
Molecule: long non-coding RNA, 560 nt
Filed under: Salvia miltiorrhiza (redroot sage)
Lineage: Eukaryota; Viridiplantae; Streptophyta; Magnoliopsida; Lamiales; Lamiaceae
Description: long non-coding RNA (SMIL_LNC010092)
Source: RNAcentral